RNAcentral lists this long non-coding RNA (453 nucleotides) under Prunus persica (peach). RNAcentral's name for it is "long non-coding RNA (PPER_LNC008279)". The record is from RNAcentral. Lineage: Eukaryota; Viridiplantae; Streptophyta; Magnoliopsida; Rosales; Rosaceae.
AAAACUUAAAAUAAAAAAUUACAUGACAAUGAAAAAUAAAUUAUAACUAAGAAAAAUAUAAAGGAAAAUUUAGCGAAGAGGUUUUGCUACGACAAUUGAGAACUUAAAAGAAAAACUAAGAGAAAUUUGAGGGAGAGAAGGGAAAGGACCUCUAGAGAGAUGUUUGAGAGCUUCUCCCCUUGGGAUGUGUUUGUAAGCUUGGAGAACCUCACAAUUUAUAGGCUUAAGGGAAGAAAAAAAUCUUAUUUGAGUAUUGCCUCUACCUAUAACACCCACUUCACCAACUUUACCGAACUUCCCCACCAAAAACAAUUAGUUCAUGCAUAUGUCAUGCAUGACAAUGCACCGCAGUCUGCUUGUAGGCAUAUUUUGGGCUCGUUCCUCCCCUCAAUAAAUUCUGUAAAAAUAUGGACCUUCAAGCACUUUGUCUUAGCUUUCCAACCAUAUGUAGCC